GCCCACUUGAUUAAUAUAUAAUAUCACUUUAUUUCAUACAUUUUAUAAAAUUGCAACCUUAUAUCAUGAUUUACUAUUAAUAGAACUAUGUAAUGUCAAAUAUAAAAAUCACACAAAAAAAUAAAUAAUUACAAAUUUUCAACAUAAUAUAUAACUAAUAAACUACCUGAAAUUGAAAUAAUAUCUAUACAAACCUUUGUAUAGGAAAUAAACUUUUUGUUAGACAAUAUAAAUGGUUUAAUAUAUUAAUAUUACUCAAUUUGGUUAUUUUAUACAGACUUUGACAUAAAGAAAUGAACCUUUUGUAAGACAAAAUAAACAGGUAAUUAUAUUGUAUCUUAAUAUUCCCCAAUUUGAUUAUAUUAUACAUGUACUUUGACAUAUUUAUAGUUUCCAUACAUUUCGCAGUAUUAAGUGUAAAAUGCAAAGAGUAGCGGAAUAGCCUUUUCAAACCAAUGUUAUAAAUGUUCAUCUAAAUAUUCCUGAAAAAUGGUUUUAGGAAUUGCCUUCAUUUCAAUAAACAAGGAUUUGCAAUAAUAAGAUUUCAAGAAUAUAUGAGAAAAAUUUAAAUGCGACUCUUUUUAUAAUAUUCUUAGCCAUUUGUAACACCUGAAAGCCAUAAACAAAAUAAAAUGCUAUUCUUAUAAUCUUCUCUCAAUUUCAAGCAUCACAUAACUCAAGAGGGUCCGGAUUGAGGGUUAUUCAGAUCAAUAUUCUGAAUUUCUAUAAUUUGUUUCAGACAUUUUUCUCUCUUUAUUACCCAUUAUUCUCUUUUCUUAUAUAUUCCCAUCCCAUUAUUUUCAAUCCUUUAUUUUUUAGCCAUUUCUUCUGUAUUCUUUUUUAUUGGGUCCACAUUUCUACAGAGUUGACCCAUUAUUCUCCAUUUGAAAACCCCAUCCAGACCCUUACUAUUAAAACAGUAAAACAGUAAACAUUUCAUUAUUUUGCUUGUUUUGUUAAUGAAAACUGACAAUGGAAACAAAUUUUGAAAGUGAGUUCUGAAGGUGGUACCUAACACUACAGGGAGAUAACUCUGUAAAUUCAGCUAAACGUUUUAAUCACAUUAUAUUGUUACGGAAAUAUAAAGCUUCUCAAUGAUCAAAAUCAGUGUUGGUCAAACUGCUAUAUAUUAAAUGAAAUUUCUUGAAAUUUGGUACAUGUACCACCUUAAAUAAAAUUAUAUUAAAUCAAACUUGCUAGUGAUCAUACAUAUUCAGAUCACUUCACCAGGACUUUUGUAAAUAUUCAAGUAUUUGGUUUAUCAACAAACAAACAAACAAACAAACAAAAAAUUGAUUGCACAUUAAUUGCAUAGCACAAAAAUGUAAAUUUUACCUUAUAAAAACAAUAAUUUUACACUGCACUGGAAUAACA
RNAcentral lists this long non-coding RNA (1374 nucleotides) under Mytilus galloprovincialis (Mediterranean mussel). The record is from RNAcentral. Lineage: Eukaryota; Metazoa; Mollusca; Bivalvia; Mytilida; Mytilidae.